GACGAAGGAUGCAAGCGUUAUCCGGAUUCAUUGGGUUUAAAGGGAGCGUAGGUGGCCCUAUAAGUCAGUGGUGAAAUCUCGCAGCUUAACUGCGAAAUUGCCAUUGAUACUGUAGGGCUUGAGUAUAGUUGCCGUUGGCGGAAUAUGACAUGUAGUGGUGAAAUACAUAGAGAUGUCAUAGAACACCGAUUGCGAAGGCAGCUAACGAAACUAUAACUGACACUGAGGCUCGAAAGUGCGGGGAUCAAACAGG
RNAcentral lists this ribosomal RNA (253 nucleotides) under uncultured bacterium. RNAcentral describes it as "partial 16S ribosomal RNA". It matches the Rfam family "Bacterial small subunit ribosomal RNA", at positions 524 to 776 of the family's 1533-position model. The record is from RNAcentral.